GGGUUGGGGGAGUAAAAGAUUGGAAAGAGAAACGUAUUUUCUGUUUAUUAAACAUUUUCAAUUUAGGUAAUAUAACAUCUUCCUCGGUUCAUCUUUCUCUAAGCAUAUCAAUGAGGGAAAGAAAUUCAAAAGCAAUCAAUCCAAACUCAAUAACCCUUUCAGUUAUGAUAUUUUUAUCCAUACACCGAUUUGAAAGUACACAAUUUGUCAAAG
RNAcentral lists this long non-coding RNA (213 nucleotides) under Mytilus galloprovincialis (Mediterranean mussel). Lineage: Eukaryota; Metazoa; Mollusca; Bivalvia; Mytilida; Mytilidae. The record is from RNAcentral.